GCGAAAAGAUCCUCAAAAACACCAAUAAUCAAUGUAGGAGAAAGAAAAGAAAUACAAACCAAAAACCGUGUUAUGACCACCGAUCCUCUACUGCGAAAAUGGCCAUUAGUCCCACACAAAGGUGUGAGGUCAUGGUCAUUACCAUCACGAGUCGGCCACGAGCUUUGUGGUGACAAACACCCCCACCUUUUUAUAAUUCUUCUUGUUUGAUGGCCUCAAUGUAGAAGAAAGAGCACCAUUAGAAUGGAAGCCCAUGUUGAAGAUGAGGGAGUUCCAGUUCUCCCUCAUAGUAUCAUCUUAAUUUGUUUGCCUGCAAUCUAUUUUUUGCUUAGGAUAAAUCAAAAAAUAGAUUGCGGGCAAACAGAGAAUGAAGAUGAUACUUUGAGGGGCGAACUGGAACUUCCUCUUCUACAACAGGGGCUUCUAUCUCUAGUGGUGCUCUUUCUCCUACAUUGGCAGCCAUCAAACCAGAUGAUUUCUAAAAAGGUGGGGGUAUUUCUGUAAAGAUGAGAAGGCUAUUCUGUAACUGUGGCUAUAAAAUCUUAACGAGGAAUUGAAGUGAAUGACAAACUUAUGUAUGUAAUGUUUGAUAAAAAGAUAUGGCAGGAUGGUGUAAUUAAGCCACGAUGGUCAAACAUAAAUCGAAGGUGGGCAAAUGAUCGACAAUCACAUUAGUGAAAGCCAAUUUGUAGAGUUAUCUACAUUUGUAAAUAGUUGUUAGAAAACUAAUUAUGUGAUUAGUAUGAUUGUUAUUGUAGUUACAUGUUAAUUAUCUUUGUAUUUAAGCCACCCUUAUGUCUUCAUUUCUUAAGUAAUGAAAAUGUUUGGUUUCACAAGUUC
Long non-coding RNA from Erigeron canadensis, 840 nucleotides. RefSeq lists it as uncharacterized. The record is from RefSeq and is a predicted model, not a curated record. NCBI's taxonomy places the organism in Eukaryota, Viridiplantae, Streptophyta, Magnoliopsida, Asterales, Asteraceae. The transcript has 2 exons.